CUGGAAUCUACUUGGCACCCACAAUUCACUCCAGUGCAUUAACCCCGGGUGCAAAUGAUAGGAUUCAGCCUUCCAAGCUUGUGGGUGCAGUCAGAUAGCUGGAUAACUUAAUGAUAUCAUUUGCACUCACAAGCUAACUGCAGGCACAAAAUAAAGCAAGAGUGACUGGAAAAAGAGAGAGAAAGAGUCUAGAAAACACAGAGCCACACAUCGCUUCUUCCCCUGUGGUGGCCAUUUGCAGAAGAUGUGCUUGUAACUUCAGACCACUAUGUAAACAAGUACAAGGAUUUUGCUCUCUGCUUCCUCCUCAUUGUUACCAUUUUCAUGGUGACUCCUGGAACACAACAAGCAUGCCAUCCCCACCCACGUCAGGAUCUUCUCCAGCUUCAAGAGGUGGCUGUGGGAGCUGUGUGUGUGGACUAGAAAUCAGUAAGAUUCCACUCACACUUGAAGAAUGGAAUCGGGGCAAUUUGAAUGCUUUACAGCUAGGUACUUCCUAGCGUUUGGCACAGAUAUUCUGAAAAAUUAACAGAAUGUACUUUGAUCCACGUUCCUGAUUUUGUGCCUUUUCUUGUGCUUCAGCAUAGUAUUGGUGUGCU
Long non-coding RNA from Gallus gallus (chicken), 599 nucleotides. The record is from Ensembl. Lineage: Eukaryota; Metazoa; Chordata; Aves; Galliformes; Phasianidae.